AUUGAACGCUGGCGGCAUGCCUUACACAUGCAAGUCGAACGGUAACGGGCCUUCGGGUGCCGACGAGUGGCGCACGGGUGAGUAAUACAUCGGAACGUGCCCGAUCGUGGGGGAUAACGAGGCGAAAGCUUUGCUAAUACCGCAUGCGAUCUACGGAUGAAAGCAGGGGACCGCAAGGCCUUGCGCGGACGGAGCGGCCGAUGGCAGAUUAGGUAGUUGGUGGGAUAAAAGCUUACCAAGCCGACGAUCUGUAGCUGGUCUGAGAGGAUGAUCAGCCACACUGGGACUGAGACACGGCCCAGACUCCUACGGGAGGCAGCAGUGGGGAAUUUUGGACAAUGGGCGCAAGCCUGAUCCAGCCAUGCCGCGUGCAGGAUGAAGGCCUUCGGGUUGUAAACUGCUUUUGUACGGAACGAAAAGCCUUCUUUUAAUACAGGAGGGUCAUGACAGUACCGUAAGAAUAAGCACCGGCUAACUACGUG
RNAcentral lists this ribosomal RNA (482 nucleotides) under uncultured bacterium. RNAcentral describes it as "partial 16S ribosomal RNA". It matches the Rfam family "Bacterial small subunit ribosomal RNA", at positions 30 to 507 of the family's 1533-position model. The record is from RNAcentral.